CACCGCGGUUAUACGAAGGACCCAAGUUGAUGGUCGCAGCGUAAAGCGUAGUUAAGACUUAAGAAAUAUAGGGUCGAGUAGCCUCUAAACAGUGAAAUGUACACGAGCCCCCUAAGCACCAUUAUAAACAUGGCCCUAGCUCAUCUGACCCUACGAAAGCUAUUACA
Molecule: ribosomal RNA, 167 nt
Filed under: Hymenocephalus lethonemus
Lineage: Eukaryota; Metazoa; Chordata; Actinopteri; Gadiformes; Macrouridae
Description: partial 12S rRNA
Source: RNAcentral